UACGUAGGUGGCAAGCGUUGUCCGGAAUUACUGGGUGUAAAGGGAGCGUAGGCGGGCAGGCAAGUCAGGCGUGAAAUAUAUCGGCUCAACCGGUAACGGCGCUUGAAACUGCAGGUCUUGAGUGAAGUAGAGGUUGGCGGAAUUCCUAGUGUAGCGGUGAAAUGCGUAGAUAUUAGGAGGAACACCAGUGGCGAAGGCGGCCAACUGGGCUUUUACUGACGCUGAGGCUCGAAAGUGUGGGGAGCAAACAGG
This 252-nucleotide ribosomal RNA is filed under the name uncultured bacterium. Its description in RNAcentral is "partial 16S ribosomal RNA". It matches the Rfam family "Bacterial small subunit ribosomal RNA", at positions 524 to 776 of the family's 1533-position model. RNAcentral also lists the same sequence under 2 other names. The record is from RNAcentral.